Orcinus orca (killer whale) is the source of this 1164-nucleotide long non-coding RNA. RefSeq lists it as uncharacterized. The transcript has 3 exons. Lineage: Eukaryota; Metazoa; Chordata; Mammalia; Artiodactyla; Delphinidae. The record is from RefSeq and is a predicted model, not a curated record.
UGAGCUAUUUUAUUUUUUAGGCUCUGAAAGCAAGGCUUUUAGUCAGCUGAAGUCAUCUUAGUUAGAUCCCUUAAAGCCAUCACAGAGACAUAUGCAAAUAUAUGCAAAUACGGUACACAACGGAGUAAUUAAAAUAAAAUCUAGUAGCCUUAAAUAGACACCAAAUAACAGUCCUAGGAGAGGCAAUUAAUUCUAUUGUUUACAACCACUCCCUUUGUUAGCUGAUUUUUUUUCCCGAGACAAAUCAUUUUUUUUGCUUCUCUGAUAGAAAGACAAAAAACAUUGCAUUUAUUAUCUGCUUCAUUUUGUCUGGAAAAGCACAGCCAAACAACCCCUAUUAACAAGAGGAAAAAUAAGUCAGAAGUGGGCCACAGCUUGGAAGGCUUUCAGAGUCUGGCCGCUGCCCACACUUCAGCCUCUUCUCAUCCCCCGACCCCGUGUCUCAACUCUCAGCUCCUUCUACAUGGAAUUCCUGGCGGUUCCACAAUCCUACCAGCAACCAGUCCCCCACCAGGGGUAAUUCCUACGUCAGAAGACAGUCAUCGCCUUCUGACGGAGCACAGAACCCAGUCAGGGAAGAGACAAAUACGCAGGUAAUUAUAUCACCCAGGAUGCUGAGCGCAAUGCUGGAGAUGUGAACAGAGCAUGGUGGGGGCGUGAACAGGAGCACCUGUGGGAGUAGGUGGGCGGGUGGGCGGUCAGAGAAGAGCCUGAAAGAUGUUACAGGGUGGAGACCACCUGUCUGCACUUUCACAGAUGGAAAGAGGGACCAAGACUAAAGGAGCAGAUCCUCAAUUCAGAGGCUGUUUCGUCUAGUUUCACUGGCUCCUAGGGUGCUGCAUGCAGAGGCCGCGUUCCCAGGUGGCCUCUUCAGAUCCAAGCUCCCAGGUGUGAAACGACUGCACCAGCACCCCCAACUUAGGCUGUGCGCAGAAGAGCCUACAACGACCCUCAACCCAAGAUGGCGGCGGACGCCGGGCACUGCGAUCUGGAGCUUAAGAGGCACAACUGGGCCCGCCCAGCGAGGGGACCGCCCAGCGAGAACCCCGCCCCCUGCCCGCUGACGGGAUCCCUGGAGAGCAGCCCCGCCCACAGCCUAUCGGGGACAGCGUUUAAGCUCACACCUCUCCGUUCUUUGAUAGAAGAAUAAAACUUUCCUUUCCU